Molecule: unclassified non-coding RNA, 250 nt
Filed under: uncultured Pleosporales
Lineage: Eukaryota; Fungi; Ascomycota; Dothideomycetes; Pleosporales
Description: sequence contains ITS2
Rfam family: 5.8S ribosomal RNA (bases 1-52)
Source: RNAcentral
AACGCACAUUGCGCCCGCCAGUAUUCUGGCGGGCAUGCCUGUUCGAGCGUCAUUUCAACCUUCAAGCUCAGCUUGGUGUUGGGUGUUUGUCCCGCCCCCCGCGCGUGGACUCGCCUCAAAUUGAUUGGCAGCCGCAUCCCCCCGCCGCGAGCGCAGCACAGUCGCGCUUACGACGUGGGUGGGUCGGCGAUCCAGAAGCCUAUUUCAACGUCUUGACCUCGGAUCAGGUAGGGAUACCCGCUGAACUUAA